GAUGAACGCUGGCGGCGUGCCUAAUACAUGCAAGUCGAGCGAACAGAUGAGGAGCUUGCUCCUCUGACGUUAGCGGCGGACGGGUGAGUAACACGUGGAUAACCUACCUAUAAGACUGGGAUAACUUCGGGAAACCGGAGCUAAUACCGGAUAAUAUAUUGAACCGCAUGGUUCAAUAGUGAAAGACGGUUUUGCUGUCACUUAUAGAUGGAUCCGCGCCGCAUUAGCUAGUUGGUAAGGUAACGGCUUAUCAAGGCAACGAUGCGUAGCCGACCUGAGAGGGUGAUCGGCCACACUGGAACUGAGACACGGUCCAGACUCCUACGGGAGGCAGCAGUAGGGAAUCUUCCGCAAUGGGCGAAAGCCUGACGGAGCAACGCCGCGUGAGUGAUGAAGGUCUUCGGAUCGUAAAACUCUGUUAUUAGGGAAGAACAAAUGUGGAAGUAACUAUGCACGUCUUGACGGUACCUAAUCAGAAAGCCACGGCUAACUACGUG
Molecule: ribosomal RNA, 497 nt
Filed under: uncultured bacterium
Lineage: Bacteria
Description: partial 16S ribosomal RNA
Rfam family: Bacterial small subunit ribosomal RNA
Source: RNAcentral